GACUUGGCGGUGCCCUAAACCCACCUAGAGGAGCCUGUUCUAUAAUCGAUAAUCCACGAUUCACCCAACCACCCCUUGCCAUGCAGCCUACAUACCGCCGUCGCCAGCCCGCCUCAUGAGAGAACAAUAGCGAGCACAAUAGCCCACCCGCUAACAAGACAGGUCAAGGUAUAGCAUAUGGAGUGGAAGAAAUGGGCUACAUUUUCUAACAUAGAAUACAACGAAAGAGGAUAUGAAA
RNAcentral lists this ribosomal RNA (238 nucleotides) under Struthio camelus (African ostrich). RNAcentral describes it as "partial 12S ribosomal RNA". Lineage: Eukaryota; Metazoa; Chordata; Aves; Struthioniformes; Struthionidae. The record is from RNAcentral.